CCUACGGGCGGCAGCAGUGGGGAAUAUUGGACAAUGGGGGGAACCCUGAUCCAGCCAUGCCGCGUGUGCGAAGAAGGCCCUCGGGUUGUAAAGCACUUUCAGUGAGGAAGAACGCCUGGUGGUUAAUACCCAUCAGGAAAGACAUCACUCACAGAAGAAGCACCGGCUAACUCCGUGCCAGCAGCCGCGGUAAUACGGAGGGUGCGAGCGUUAAUCGGAAUUACUGGGCGUAAAGCGCGCGUAGGUGGCUUGAUAAGCCGGUUGUGAAAGCCCCGGGCUCAACCUGGGAACGGCAUCCGGAACUGUCAAGCUAGAGUGCAGGAGAGGAAGGUAGAAUUCCCGGUGUAGCGGUGAAAUGCGUAGAGAUCGGGAGGAAUACCAGUGGCGAAGGCGGCCUUCUGGACUGACACUGACACUGAGGUGCGAAAGCGUGGGUAGCAAACAGGAUUAGAUACCCUGGUAGUC
This 465-nucleotide ribosomal RNA is filed under the name Vreelandella stevensii. Its description in RNAcentral is "partial 16S ribosomal RNA". It matches the Rfam family "Bacterial small subunit ribosomal RNA", at positions 338 to 795 of the family's 1533-position model. The record is from RNAcentral. Lineage: Bacteria; Pseudomonadati; Pseudomonadota; Gammaproteobacteria; Oceanospirillales; Halomonadaceae.